GACGAACGCUGGCGGCGUGCUUAACACAUGCAAGUCGAACGGUGAAAGGGAGAUUGCUCCCUGGAUCAGUGGCGAACGGGUGAGUAACACGUGGGCAACCUGCCCCAGACUUCGGGAUAACGCUUCGAAAGAGGUGCUAAUACCGGAUACGAACUCCUUGGGCAUCCUUGGAGUUGGAAAGUUUUUCGGUCUGGGAUGGGCCCGCAGCCUAUCAGCUUGUUGGUGAGGUAACGGCUCACCAAGGCGACGACGGGUAGCCGGCCUGAGAGGGCGACCGGCCACACUGGGACUGAGACACGGCACAGACUCCUACGGGAGGCAGCAGUGGGGAAUAUUGCGCAAUGGGCGAAAGCCUGACGCAGCAACGCCGCGUGAGGGAUGACGGCCUUCGGGUUGUAAACCUCUUUCAGCAGGGAAGAAGCGAAAGUGACGGUACCUGCAGAAGAAGCACCGGCUAACUACGUGCCAGCCGCCGCAGUAA
Molecule: ribosomal RNA, 481 nt
Filed under: uncultured bacterium
Lineage: Bacteria
Description: partial 16S ribosomal RNA
Rfam family: Bacterial small subunit ribosomal RNA
Source: RNAcentral